Molecule: unclassified non-coding RNA, 216 nt
Filed under: Phaeosphaeria podocarpi
Lineage: Eukaryota; Fungi; Ascomycota; Dothideomycetes; Pleosporales; Phaeosphaeriaceae
Description: partial internal transcribed spacer region
Rfam family: Eukaryotic small subunit ribosomal RNA (bases 1-46)
Source: RNAcentral
AAGUCGUAACAAGGUUUCCGUAGGUGAACCUGCGGAAGGAUCAUUACAUGCAGUAGCCUAGCUACUUGUUUAUACCCUUGUCUUUUGCGCACUUGAUUGUAUCCUCGGCGGGCUUGCUCGCCGGUUGGACACCUACUAUAACCUUUUGAAAUCUUCAAUCAGCGUCUGAAUAAUACCUAAUUAUUACAACUUUCAACAACGGAUCUCUUGGUUCUG